CUUUCUCUUUGCAAACCUCAAGAUAGGACGUAAUGUGCCAAGCAAGUUCUUCCAAAAAUCUUGCAGAGAACAAGCUGGCAACUUUUCCAGUAAUUUGUGGUUGUGAAAGAUGAAUAGUAGACAUUUCAGGAAAGGGAAGUGUCCUGGGGCAAUGCGUUAUAUAGAUAUUCACUUCUGGACUGGAAAUCUCAUUCUUGAGAUUUCACUGACCAGCAACACUCCAGUGAAACUGCAGUCAAAAUUUAUGGAGUCUGCAGUAAAUAUGAAGCUAAAGUAACAGGGGACGUAUUCUUGGUAAACUUGGAAAGAGAUGUGACUCAGUGCACCAAGAAAAAGGACUGAGACCUGAGAAACUUGGCAAAGCAUUUCCUCAGGUUUGGCUGAAUUUGAAGUGAAAUACUCAUGUCAUUCCGGAGACCUCCACAGGAGUAAUUUCCCCCAUCCCAAACACGAGCUUAUAGCACAUUUUUAUGCCUUCUUUGGCAGAGAAGGAAGAAGGAUAGACAAAAGCAAAGUUUUUGGCUUUUUCUGCAUGGCAUGAGGAAUGGGAACAGUCUUCAAUCAUAAAUCGGGAGGAAGAGUUUCAGUCAACCUCUUGAAUUUUGCACAUCAUUUGUAAAAUAGGUUGGGUAGAGGGUGGUGAUUGGCCCACACAAUUUUUAGGUUUACUUAUAAAAUCCUUAUUAAAGUCAUACCUCCAAA
This 702-nucleotide long non-coding RNA is filed under the name Homo sapiens (human). RNAcentral describes it as "novel transcript". The record is from RNAcentral. Lineage: Eukaryota; Metazoa; Chordata; Mammalia; Primates; Hominidae.